This 269-nucleotide ribosomal RNA is filed under the name uncultured soil bacterium. RNAcentral describes it as "partial 16S ribosomal RNA". It matches the Rfam family "Bacterial small subunit ribosomal RNA", at positions 26 to 282 of the family's 1533-position model. The record is from RNAcentral.
AGGACGAACGCUGGCGGCGCGCUUAACACAUGCAAGUCGAACGGGGCUCGGGUCCUUCGGGAUCCGGGUUCAGUGGCGAACGGGUGCGUAACACGUGAGCAACCUGCCCUGAUGUGGGGGAUAACCUCGGGAAACCGGGGCUAAUACCGCAUGGGCUCCUCUGGGUCACCUGACCUGGGGAGCAAAGGUGCUGUCAAAGGCACUGCAUUAGGAGGGGCUCGCGGCGUAUCAGCUAGUUGGUGGGUAACGGCUCACCAAGGCAGCGACGC